CUUGGCUGCUUCUUGGACUCUGUGAUCUAGUAAGUGGGUCAGCUGUCAGGAUGGACUCGUUCUUCUCCUUUGUGAUCGAGUAUAACUGGUGGACUAGCAAAGUGGACUGCUUGGUCGCCUCUGCGAAAGAGUAGAAUUGCAGAAUGCACUGCCUCCUCUCCUCUGUGAUCGAGUAUAUCUGGCAAAAUGGACUGCCUGGUCUCCUCUACGAUCGAGUAGAAGUGUCUAGAUGGACUGUUGAGCUGACUACUUCCCUCUCUGCUACUGGUGAUCGAGUAUGUUGGUGGAAGUGUGACUUUCUGUUCUGUUUUUCCUCUUUCUGAGCACCAAUAGCUCCAAAACACCUGAAACAACUCCAGAAUGCAGAAUGUAUGCAAGACUAGUCCUAGACUCGACUAAAGAUGCAAAAUGUACAAAAAUGAUGGUGAAUGUUAUGACAGAUGGAUGAAACUAGACUCAAAAUGGUGAUAAAAGGAUGUGUAAAACAUGCAAAUUAUAGACAUAUCAACUUCCCCAAACUUAGUCUUUGCUUGCCCUCAAACAAACAAGUAGACAUAAGCUGAAGGAGAGGUUUGAAGGUGGAGAUUCAGAACCAAAACAUCAUAUAAAUCAGAUAAAAUCAAUGUCCAAGUUGGCAGUUCUAGGAUGCGAUAUUAUCGAACUCUACUCAAAAAUGUUAGCCAUGCCUUAUUAUAGUUCAAUCCCACUCUUAU
RNAcentral lists this small RNA (713 nucleotides) under Arabidopsis thaliana (thale cress). RNAcentral's name for it is "ATSL035830". The record is from RNAcentral. Lineage: Eukaryota; Viridiplantae; Streptophyta; Magnoliopsida; Brassicales; Brassicaceae.